RNAcentral lists this unclassified non-coding RNA (285 nucleotides) under plant metagenome. RNAcentral describes it as "partial contains small subunit ribosomal RNA and internal transcribed spacer 1". The stretch from base 1 to 54 matches the Rfam family "Eukaryotic small subunit ribosomal RNA", at positions 1778 to 1831 of the family's 1831-position model. The record is from RNAcentral.
GGAAGCAAAAGUCGUAACAAGGUUUCCGUAGGUGAACCUGCGGAAGGAUCAUUAUUGUAUAACCGAGGUGCGAGGGCUGUCGCUGACCCGAAAGGUCGUGCACGCCCGAGUGCCCUCACACACAUCCAUCUCACCCCUAUGUGCACCACCGCGUGGGUCCCCCUUUGGCUUGUUCGGAGGGGGGCUUACGUUUUCACACAAACUUUGUAUGCAGUGUAGAAUGUAUUUUUUGUUUUUGCGAUCACGCAAUCAAUACAACUUUCAACAACGGAUCUCUCGGCUCUC